UGGUUCUGGCAUCGAUGAAGAACGCAGCGAAAUGCGAUAAGUAAUGCGAAUUGCAGAAUUUCCGUGAGUCAUCGAAUCUUUGAACGCACACUGCGCCCUUUGGUAUUCCGAAGGGCAUACCUGUUCGAGCGUCAUUAUCCUUCUCUCCACACCCCCUGUGUGUGGGCUUUGGAACCAAGUCGGUCGCGAAUCGACUGGCUCCCAAAAGUAAUGACGGCGUCCGUGGGACCCUCGACACACUGAGCUUUUAUUCAAGGCACGUGUCGAGUUGCAAGGACCUUCCGGGCCGGUCCACCUUUAUUUUUCUCAGGUUGACCUCGGAUCAGGUAGGAAUACCCGCUGA
Molecule: unclassified non-coding RNA, 343 nt
Filed under: uncultured fungus
Lineage: Eukaryota; Fungi
Description: partial contains 5.8S ribosomal RNA and internal transcribed spacer 2
Rfam family: 5.8S ribosomal RNA (bases 1-134)
Source: RNAcentral